UUAUUUCUUUUAUUCUACUUUAGUUUUAAUACGCAAUCACACUCGGAGAUACGAUCUCGAAAAAUUUUAAUUUCCACUAGUAUAACCUAUUCACCCCCCUCUAGGUUAUUUCAGUGGUGAGGCAGUGGUCUGACUCUGAUAGUCCCUUGGUUCUUGCUUCCCCCCUCCAUUAAUGCAUAGCCCCAAUACCAUCUCAAAGGAGGAUUUCGAGGCUGCCGUGAUUGCGAUGUGGCAAAAUGACUUUGUAGAUUCAACACUCGACUACAGAGAGUUUCUUUAACGGGAGACAAUGUACUUACCCUUGACUAUUAAGGGUCCUCAGUAUGAUUGGCCGAUUCCCUUCUCUGUCUUCCAUAUUCCUUGAUCUGCUGGUGCUUUUAUGGAGGGCUUGACUCACGUGAGCAUGGGGCUGGUUCACAACAUAUCUGAGGGGCCCUCUUCCAUCUUUGGCUUCCCGAGGUGGACGUACACGGAUGCUCAUGAUCCCUUAGUGCAGAUGAUCCUACUGAGGACUCCGAUGGCUAAUGAGGGCAUGGGCCUCCCCAUCACCUAUGAUUUUGUCUCUCCUACUAUCUACGCCGAGUCCCGCCGGAUGAUCUAGAGUUUCAACGUGUGUCUGUAUUGUCACACAGAGCUUAUUUGAGACCAAGUAUACGUUGAAACCUUGCUUUUCCAUUUCUUGGGGACCUUGAUGAGCUUUUAUUGGCAUCUCUUAUUCUUCGUUCGGAGAUUUCCAACCUUCAGCGCUAGGUUGGAGCAGCUUAACCCCUGGUCUGGAGGUGGAGGAUCGAACAUGGGCCCCACAUUUGCUGUUGAUGACCUUGACCUGUUUGGAGGUGAUGAUGGACUGUCAUAGGACCAUGAUCUUUUUUGUUUAUUUUUUAA
Long non-coding RNA from Macadamia integrifolia, 885 nucleotides. RefSeq lists it as uncharacterized. The transcript is spliced from 3 exons. Lineage: Eukaryota; Viridiplantae; Streptophyta; Magnoliopsida; Proteales; Proteaceae. The record is from RefSeq and is a predicted model, not a curated record.